UUCCGGUUGAUCCUGCCGGACCCCACUGCUAUCGGGAUAGGACUAAGACAUGCUAGUCAAGCGCUUUCAAGCUAAUGUGAGAGCGCGGCAUACAGCUCAGUAGCACGUGGCUAACCUGCCCUUGGGACGGAGACAUCCCCGGGAAACUGGGGCUAAUUUCCGAUAGGUGAAAAAUUCUGGAAUGAAUUUUCGCUUAAAAGGCGUUUAUGUCAUGCUCAUAGGCGUUGCCCAGGGAUGGGGCCGCGACCGAUCAGGUUGUUGGUGAGGUAAUGGCUUACCAAGCCUUUUACCGGUACGGGCCGUGAGAGCGGGAGCCCGGAGAUGGGCACUGAGACAAGGGCCCAGGCCCUACGGGGCGCAGCAGUCGCGAAAACUUUGCAAUACACGAAAGUGUGACAAGGCUAUCCCGAGUGCCAUCCGCUGAGGAAGGCUUUUACCCAGUAUAAAUAGCUGGGAGAAUAAGGAGAGGGCAAGUCUGGUGUCAGCCGCCGCGGUAAUACCAGCUCUCCGAGUAGUGUGGACGUUUAUUGGGCCUAAAGCAUCCGUAGCUUGCUAAGCAAGUCCCCUGUUAAAUCCACCGAUUCAAUCGGUGGAUUGCGGGGGAUACUGUUUGGCUAGGGGACGGGAGAGGCCGACGGUAUUUCCGGGGUAGGGGUGAAAUCCUAUAAUCCCGGGAAGACCACCAGUGGCGAAGGCUGUCGGCUAGAACGCGCCCGACGGUGAGGGAUGAAAGCUGGGGGAGCGAACCGGAUUAGAUACCCGGGUAGUCCCAGCUGUAAACGAUGCAGCUAGGUGUUUGGGCGGCCACGAGCCGCUCUAGUGCCGCAGGGAAGCUGUUAAGCCUGCCGCCUGGGGAGUACGGCCGCAAGGCUGAAACUUAAAGGAAUUGGCGGGGGAGCACCCACAAGGGGUGAAGCUUGCGUUUAAUUGAGUCACGCCGGGA
This 943-nucleotide ribosomal RNA is filed under the name uncultured archaeon. Its description in RNAcentral is "bacterial SSU rRNA". It matches the Rfam family "Archaeal small subunit ribosomal RNA", at positions 1 to 923 of the family's 1478-position model. The record is from RNAcentral.